Toxorhynchites rutilus septentrionalis is the source of this 359-nucleotide long non-coding RNA. RefSeq lists it as uncharacterized. Lineage: Eukaryota; Metazoa; Arthropoda; Insecta; Diptera; Culicidae. The transcript has 3 exons. The record is from RefSeq and is a predicted model, not a curated record.
CGUUGAUGAAGCGAACCAAUACAGCAAAAAUAGAGCAAUACUUCAAUUGAUCAUCUGCCCACGGGAAAAAUAUAUUGUUUUUGAUAGAGAUAUUAUGCAAAUUUGAAAUUGUGCUAUACUUCUUAAAUUAAAUUAUAUCUAGCUAAAACAGUGAAUUAAACUACGAAUAAGGAAUUUGAACUUCGGAACAGGAUUGUAAUUAAAACUAGAGGCUAAAGCAUACAGGAUUGGUUGUGUACCUUGAACAUAUCAAUGAGGAAGAAAGGGAAUGCAUGCUGCGCGAAAAUAGAGAUGGGGUUAGCGAUGAACGAAUAGAAGGAAAGGAACAGAAGAGAAGAUCAAAAGAGUGAAGACAUGAU